This 460-nucleotide ribosomal RNA is filed under the name uncultured bacterium. Its description in RNAcentral is "partial 16S ribosomal RNA". It matches the Rfam family "Bacterial small subunit ribosomal RNA", at positions 338 to 795 of the family's 1533-position model. The record is from RNAcentral.
CCUACGGGAGGCAGCAGUGAGGAAUAUUGGUCAAUGGACGAGAGUCUGAACCAGCCAAGUAGCGUGAAGGAUGACUGCCCUCUGGGUUGUAAACUUCUUUUAUAUGGGAAUAAAAUGUUCCACGUGUGGGAUUUUGUAUGUACCAUAUGAAUAAGGAUCGGCUAACUCCGUGCCAGCAGCCGCGGUAAUACGGAGGAUCCCAGCGUUAUCCGGAUUUAUUGGGGUUCAAGGGAGCGUAGGUGGAUUUUUAAGUCAGUUGUGAAAGUUUGCGGCUCAACCGUAGAAUUGCAGUUGAAACUGGCAGUCUUGAGUGCAGUAGAGGUUGGCGGAAUGCGUGGUGUAGCGGUGAAAUGCUUAGAUAUCACGAAGAACUCCGAUUGCGAAGGCAGUUCACUGGACUGCAACUGACACUGAGGCUCGAAAGUGUGGGUAUCAAACAGGAUUAGAUACCCCAGUAGUC